CCCCCCCCCCCCCCCCCCAGUUUUCUUCGAUAACAUAUAAGUCUCAUAUUUUUAUAUAUCGUAUGUGCACGAAAGACUGUAAAGUAAUCUUUACAUCACUUCGUGAGCUUGAUAUCGCCCCCGAUGUUGUAUAGUCAUUUGGAAUAAAGAAAACCAACACAUGUACAUAUCGACUCGAUACAGGCGAAAGAUGAAGAUAUUUUAUUUCGAUCAAGGCAUAUUCAGAAAGGUAACUAGUUGCAGAUUUAGGAUUUAGGAUUUUGAUACGGAAGGUACAAUAUAUUGCCUCGUUUAGAUACGAUUUGGAUGUGAAUGUGGAAAAUGCCCAACAUUUGAGUUAAGAUUAUGAAAAUUGCUAUAUUUGAGAGGAUAUUGUCAUACAUGCCAACUUUCCCGAUUUAGGCGGGAUCUUCCCGAUUUUACCCUCCGGUCCCGCUUUCCCGAUCGGGAAAGCAAAAUUACCCUAAAAUCCCGAUUUGAAAUUUUUUCCGACCAAAAUUUCCGAUUUCACGAUUGAAAACGAGUUUGAAAGCGGGAUAAACGUGAAAUCUCGUGACCAGAAUUGGAAAUCCCGCGUCAUUUCUGAACUGGCCAAUCAGAAAUCGGGACAAUAGUCAGCCAUUGCUGUUUACCUGUGUCGCAUGGUGUCGGGUUGGUCUGCCUGUGUCGGGGUGUUUAUUGGACAGUACGAAGCAUGUUUUGAUAGUAAUUAAUCGGGAAGACGGAUUUCAAAUUGACCUAUCCUUUACACAAACGUGAAUGACAACGAUGCUAGUGUCACCACCAAACAAUCGGACAUUCCGCCUCUCGCUGACAGCAUCCAAAAUUUGCAAUAAGAUGUCAUGGGUGCAAAGGUUUUGUUCGCAAACUUCAUAGCAGGACAGAUCACUCCUUUUUUGGUUGCAAUGCAGAUUAUUCCACCAGUCUCUGCAAGCCCAUGUUUACAGACAAGCAAGAUCGCCUUUGCAGUCGUACCUAAAUGCAUGUGCUUUAAUUUAAAUUUUGAUAUAUAAACCGGCCAAUGUUUAUUGUAUGGUGUAAAAGGAUGCAACCUUAAAUAUUAUUUGAUAUUAUGUAUGUGACUUGUUGAAGAUUUUUUGCUGAAUAGAUGAUUUUAAUAAAAUAUUAAUGUAUA
Ostrea edulis (European flat oyster) is the source of this 1135-nucleotide long non-coding RNA. RefSeq lists it as uncharacterized. NCBI's taxonomy places the organism in Eukaryota, Metazoa, Mollusca, Bivalvia, Ostreida, Ostreidae. The transcript is spliced from 2 exons. The record is from RefSeq and is a predicted model, not a curated record.